CGUAGUUUGUCAGUCAGUGUUGCCGCGCAUAGAGGAGUAAGGAUUGAGCAUUUGCUGUCAAUGAUUGCUGACAAGCUAGCUGGUUUUGAUGUUGUCAUUGUGCACGUUGGCACUAACAACACUGUUGACAGUGUCAGCGUGUGCAUGGACAAGUAUCGCCAGCUCGCUCAGGGGAUCAUUGAGAGAAAUCCCAUGGUGCAUGUAGCUUUUUCUGCCAUUCUUCCUCGGGGGCAGAAUCAGUACAGCUCAUGGGAAGCUCAGUCUUCAUGGUUGCAUGACCUGAAUGGUAACUACGAAAAGAUUAACAGUGCCCUGAUGCAGUACUGCCACGAGUGUGGCUACACAUUCCUGGGUGGUCUCGUGGACAACUGGCCCAGUUGCCUGAGCAGAGAUGGUGUCCACCCGAGCCGCUUUGGUAACAAGGUGCUGGCAGACUUCCUGUACCAGGGGGCCUGCACCCUGUCCAUCCAUCUGGAGAGAAGCCGCAUCCAGCAGUCCUACAAGGAGACCCAGGAACCUUCUUCAUGGACCAGUUGGACUCGGCAGGACAGCAUCCCUGCCAUCUCCGAGGCUGACUUUCCCCCGCUUGGUCCACUGACGUACCAGCUGCAUGCAUUCACACUACCAUCAAGUCAUCAGGAGCGUCUGUACCUCUAUCUAAAUAUUACACUAUUGUCUAAGGUGGAAAAUCAGACUUGUAUAUUUUGCUGUAAUGGUUCUGCCAAUAAAAGAUUGAUUAUACAUA
This is a non-coding RNA of Dermacentor albipictus, 745 nucleotides long. The record is from RefSeq and is a predicted model, not a curated record. NCBI's taxonomy places the organism in Eukaryota, Metazoa, Arthropoda, Arachnida, Ixodida, Ixodidae.